UGACUUUAUCUCCGAAACAUCUAACAUGAGCUGUCCCUCUGAUGUACUCAUUCCUGAUAUCCUCAAAUUUGUCAUCAUAUUUACAGGAAUUUGUCUUGCUGAUGUAGAUGUUGUGAUCUACAACAGUGGCCCGCAACCUUUUCAACCUGUCACCUCUUACAACAAAGCUGUCUACUUGCAAUCGUUGUCACAGUGCAUACUGUAUGUCUAUGGGUUGUGGCCAGUUCCACCACAGAGGGAUUUCAAUUUCUAUGUUUAAUGUCAUUAGUUUUAGAGGCCUAAAGGGGUAAAAUUCAGUCAGUCCAGUUAUUUUACAAGAAAAGAGAUUAGAAAAGCAUAUAAAUACUACAUAGUAAUAAGACACAAUUUGUGUAGCAUUUUUUUUUUCUUCUUUGCUUUCAUAUCCUGUUAAUUAUCUUGUGACCCCUCCACUUUUUCAUUGUGACCUUAAUGGGACUGGGAACCACCGAUCUACAAAACACUGGCAUAGUGGGUAGACAACAGGUCUACACAUUUGGUUCAUGUCCUACAGUUGAAUUGUUGUGGUAAACAUAGCACUAUGACUACAUAUAUUACAUGCAUACAUGUCUGUUCAUUUGGAAUCACUUAAACAGAUUGCUCAGAAAAAAGGAAGCUAGAGCUUUACAAUUGCAUGAACUGACACGUGGCGUUUUGGCAGAAUAUGUUCCCCUGAGAGAUGUGGCAUUAUGUCUUUGCUGUCAUUUUAUGCUAGGAGAGAAAAUAAUAAAGUAAUUUUAAUGUUUUGGUCAUUGUUAAUGUCUACAUCAACUUGUAACACUUGUUCUUUUGAUAGAACAUUUUAAUAACUGAUUGUGGCUUGCUGAAAGUAAUCUACCUCAGGCAUUAACACCUGCUUGUGACCUUUUCGCCUGGCAACCAUCUUCAUUAGUCAACUUUGUAUCCUGCAUUUCCCCCAUAAAAGCUGCAACAUUGCACACAAUGAAGACAAAUUGAGGACACACAAGAAGAGGAAACUUUUUUUAGGGACACACGGUUCUGAGCAGCAGUAGCCUGAUGCAGCAUAGCAUGCUGGGAUAUUUUUGCAGACUGGUCUCAGCUUAAACACUCGUGGCCUGUUUUUACAGAGCUUAACGUGUUGAAAGCCUAUCCCCGGUGAAAAGGGGGGAGCAGUAGAUUAAAAAAAAAAGUGAGGGAAAAGAGAGCGAGCACAGGGAAAAAAAAGCUGACUUCCGCACAGGGAAGGUUCAAAGGGACCUCCGCUCCUGCGUGGUCUGUUUGUUGUCAUUUGAUCCAUGAGUUGAUUUUCUAUCUCUCUCUCUUUCAGCCUUCCUGUUCUUCUCUUUCACUCACAGGAAACAGAGGGAUGCGUGUACACAAGGCCUCUGGCAACAGGUUGACCCUUUUCCCUUCCUUUGUGGGUUAUUUGUUCCAAACUUCCUGUAUCCUUUUUACACAGUGUACUGAACCCUAAAUAGUCUUACUUCCAUGACAUAUAACCAGCUAAUGUUCAUAACUGACUUACUGUGCAGUAAGCCACAAAAGACGACAAUAGAGUGCUUUUUACUGAUACCAAUCCAUGGUCAUUUUCUAGGGGGAAAAAAUUAACUGUGUUAAGCACUGGAUGUCUUUUCCUACUUGUAUACCUUUUGUUUAAGAUAUUUACAUAACAUGUCCAGUGACCAUAAAAUGUUUUCUGUGUGCUUUUUGCUGUCCGCCCUGUCAGCAAACAGUUUGUGCCACCACAGAGAGCAAACAGCUAUCUUAACUACCUCAGAGUGCUUGAUUUGCAUCAGUGAAAAAAGGGACCUGGUAAACAUUGAUUUGGCAGAUAGUUCUAGAUCGACCUUUUGGCAGUAUAGAGGACAACUUUCUUAAAAUUGAUAGAAUUAGAACAUGAAUGAAUUUUGUGAAGAGCUGGGCAGGUUUGGAUAUAGCGGCAUGCACCAUUGAAACUUCAAAAUAAAAUUCCAAAACUAGUUUCAAAUCAACCACAGCUGCUUUAGGGGGGAGCUGUAGCACAGACAUUAACAAGGCUACGGGUUCAACUUUGGGGGCGGCACAAUAGCGAGUGAUUAAACACUUCCAUUUUUAUUAGCAGCUACUGGAGUGGAGCAAAGUACUAGAAUCAGAAUUUGAGACUGGGACCUGAGUCAGACUUAAGUCACAAAAAAGAGCACUUGAAACACUUACUCGAGACUUGACUGACUAAAGAAUUGACUUGAUACCUGGAUGCAAAAACAUUCAAGUUUCAAGUUUUGACGAAGUAAACUCCCACAGCAAUAACAAAAUAAAUAAAUCAGAGCCUGGUAGAACUUGCACAGCUGCACACUUAGUCUUAGUUAUGCAAAGAUAGUAUUAAAACAGUUUUGAAAGCUAAAGGUCCCCCAAUGCAAUGUCAUUAUAAUGAUCAACAACAACAAUAAAGACCUCCACAGAGACCUGCAAGGCAGUUUGACUUGCACAAAUCCCUCCAACUCCCCUCCCAUAUAUGCUGCCGGGCUUCCGACAUGGCUCAGUUUUCAGUUGGAAUAAGGGACCAUAUGUGGGAACAGUCUCCAUUCCUCAGAUAAGGAAGUCGUGGACUUCCUGGCAUCUUGGCUUGUUAUUGGUCCAAAACCAUAUAGGUCGAAGGUCAGUCUAGUGGAUCACACAUCCUUCCUUCCUGGCCGUCCACAACCUGUUUGGUGAGUGGGACUCAUGUCAUGGCCUUCAAUGUCUAUUUAUUUUGUGUCAAGAGAAAGGACUUAAAUUCUUAAAACCCCAAUCCUUAUUUUUUUACCACACAAAUGUGAAGUAUAUUCACAUUUGUAAUUUAAGAAUUUGACUUAACAAUGAAAAAAAACACACACACUCACUGUCACCCACACACACGGUCAACAUAAUGCUCAUCACUGCUGCUUUAUGUAUAAAAUCCUUCACUUUUCUGACCACGUUAUUCACUUUGUUAGGAAUGGUCUCUUUAAAUUUAGAGUCUGUACAACCUAUUAUUUUAAGUACUAUACUUAUGUAGGCCCAGACUGUCACUUGAUACAUGCACAAUAAUGUUGCCAAAAGCUGAUGCAAAACUAGAAGGAGCAAAGUCUUUACUCACAACUUUACCUUAAAUGGAGACUGCCAAACUUCAAUAUUGUUUCUCUGUAUUAGUCAUUGGCAGAGCAUGUCUAUAAUAUCUGCCAGUGUUUUCUGUAGCCAACUGUACCAGCCAGUUUUCUUCCACCAUGAUGUAUUCUUCUGACAUCAGUGGAUGGCAGAGGAAGAGUUUGACUGAGCCCCAAACUAGUAAAUCACAGAAUUCCAGGGAUGCUUUCUUUCACUUGGCAGAUGUGAUAAGAAGCCUACCCAGUCAGCUUGUAUCUGGAUGUCAACAACAGACCUCCCACACCUCGUCUUCUGCUGUGUGAUUGACAGAUGGCCUGACAGAUCCUGAAAGCGUGAUACUCUCUCUCCUCAUAAAUUCCUGACUGUGGCACAAGGGGCAGCAAACAUGGUUGAAGGCUGAAGCUGAUAAGAAAAUGCAAUACAUGUGAUGCUGGCUUCAUUCAGUCUAGGUUUGGCUCCAAACAAAUCUUGCAAGGUAAAGAUAUUGCAAGGCAACAUUCUCUACAAAAGUAUUUGUCAGUUGUUCGUGAACAACACAACACUACUGGGCAUGCCCGUGCCGGUAUAAACAGGAAGCAGACUGUCAAAAGUUAUGUAUUUUAAAAUGAAAAUGUAUAGUGUGGAUGUAGCCUAGAAAACAACUGUCCAAUCUGAGCUGAUUUGUAAAUGAUAUGCUGAGUGCUAAAGAUGCCCGAAAGCUGUUUAUAUCUGUACAUGUGAAUCCGGAGUGACUGACAGAAAUGGGCCAAAGGCAGAGGGAAGUGGACACCCAGUGAAGGGGAAAUCCUCUCUGUGGGUCACACACACACACACACACACACGGGAUAUGAGCGUGACACUUUAUUGAAGCUGACCAAGCCCUCUACACAAUUGUAACACACACACUCACAGAUAGGGAAGCAGGACAGCAGUGAGGCGAUGCAGAGCAGAGACAGAGUGAUGGACCUGUUGAUAACACUGGAGCUGCCAUUGUCUUCACAGACCUCAGACCAGGGUGUGUGUCUGUGUGUGUGUCUGGGGCUGUCACGAAACAGCUGGAGGGAACUUCCCUGGAAAUCAAAGUGUGCGUGCUUUUCAGUUUCUAUAUCACUUGGACAAUGCGGUUUACAGAAAUAUCCAUAUAUAACAUUAUAACAUUAAUAUUAUUGUUUUUAAUGUAACUAAUACUAAAACCAAAAAACCUGAAAACACUUGUAGCAAACCUGCAAAAUAGUAAAUAAUCACCACUCUCUCACAAGAACAAUCCAUUACUUUAUUUUUAAACAUACACUUGGUUAUAUGACAUAAUCAUAAAAAUCUAAAUAACUUGAAAAUAUUUAAGCUUUGAGAACAUGGUGUCAUGGUACAUGGUACAAAUCAGACAGUUAACAGAUUUUGGACAUUGUUUAUAGGUGAGUUUACAACAACACACACCAACUGCCCUUGACAACACAGGAAAUAAGUGUGUGUGCAUGCGUGAGUGUGUAUGUAAGGACGAGUUUGCACAACACAGGAAACAUGUGCGCCUACUUGUCUGCGUCUGUGUAUGUGUGUGUGUGUGCCUGCAUGUGUGUGUCAUCCUCGGUCCCCCAGGUGUUGUAGGUGUAAAUGGUUCUUUGAUUAAUUAGUUUGUGGAUGGGUGGUGAGACGGCAGCUGACAGAACAGCAGAGACUAGAUCUCACUGUGGGCUGAAAAGGUCUGAAUCUCCACCUCACUGAUGUAGAUACAUGUGGAAAUGCAGUUUACAUGUGGAAAGCUUUCUUUUUCUUACAAUUUGUCAUUUACACUUAAAGUCUAUAAGUGCUCUUCCCCCCCCCCCCUCUUCCUCACUGGCAGUUUGCAACAAAACAACAAAAUUUUGAUCUUUUGAACAAAGUCAUCAAUUUUUAAUCUGUCUUUAAGAUGUCGAUUUUACAGGCAAAACUUAGAUUUUGGGUUCAUCCUGUAAAAUAUUUUGGCAUAAAGAUAUUGUACAUCAGCACAAAACAAAAUCAUUUAUAAGCAGCUUUAAUCCACAGCUUUCUGAAACCAAGUCAGCCCCCCAAAAACCCACAGCCUUCGUCACUGUAGUACUAAAAACCAGAGCACUGUGUUUCCAAGAGAACAGUCUGUACAGAAUGAUUUGUUAAAUGGCAUCACAUGCUGUUCACCUGUGAGUGUGUGUGUUUGUGUGGGUGUUGCUCUGGUGAGCGUUCUUGCCCCUGUACAGUGUGAUAAGAGAAGGAAGCAUGUGGUUGUUAUCUGUGCGCAGGAGCCUGGCAGCUCCUCCUGUUUUGUCUCUGCUAAUCUCAAACUCUGCUGCAGCUGAGAACCUUCGAAGGAAUUCUUCUUCAUCACUAAUGUCUCCUCGCCUUCAUGCUGCAUGGCCUUUCUGCUUUUUGACUUCAUGUUGUUUGGCUUUCACAUUGCAUUGUCUUGCCUUUGUGCUGUGUUGGGUUUUGCGUCACUUUUGCAUUGCAUUGCGUCACACACCAGUGAACACCUCUGAACAUUGAAGAAGUUCAACUCUUGAUUGCUGAUGCAUGCUUUCACCCUCAAACACGUAUUUGUAACCACAGUGAAAAACUACCAGAUCAAAUAUCUUCCUCUGAUCUUGCCAUGAUGUUGAUUGUGGCACAUUUAGACCCCAUUUACACCUGAUAUUAACAUGCGAUCUAUGGAUCUGGAUUAGAUCCUGACCGACGCUGGAUUUUUGAGACUGAUAAAUGUUGAUAUUUGAGACUUAUUCAACAAUAUGUAAGUCAAGUUUUUUUUAACGUAAACAGAUAGCAUAAGCAAACGUUUUUGAUAAGGAUCAUAUUAAUUUGGUUAUUAGACUGUGUGACCUGUACUGAGUGUGACAUUUUACUUGUCUUUGAUAAGCUAAAAUUGAUUGAUAAUAUUUGUCAUGCCAAUGUAUUAGUAGGAUUCUAAUCUGGAUAUGUUAUCUGGAUAAGGGCAUGACCUGGUAAUCAUAAGCAUCCUUGUUCUCUUUAUUCUGCCACCAUCAUGAUUGGAACAUAAUGGUGAGAUGCUUGGAAUAAAGUUUGGGGAAUCUAAA
Siniperca chuatsi (mandarin fish) is the source of this 6101-nucleotide long non-coding RNA. RefSeq lists it as uncharacterized. The transcript has 4 exons. NCBI's taxonomy places the organism in Eukaryota, Metazoa, Chordata, Actinopteri, Centrarchiformes, Sinipercidae. The record is from RefSeq and is a predicted model, not a curated record.